GCCGAAGUGGCGGAAUAGGCAGACGCGCACGACUCAAAAUCGUGUUCCUUCGGGAAUGAGGGUUCGAUUCCCUCCUUCGGCA
Molecule: transfer RNA, 82 nt
Filed under: Gemmatimonadota bacterium
Lineage: Bacteria; Pseudomonadati; Gemmatimonadota
Also listed under: 1 other name
Description: tRNA-Leu
Rfam family: tRNA
About the family: Transfer RNA (tRNA) molecules are approximately 80 nucleotides in length.
Source: RNAcentral